This 497-nucleotide ribosomal RNA is filed under the name uncultured bacterium. RNAcentral's name for it is "partial 16S ribosomal RNA". It matches the Rfam family "Bacterial small subunit ribosomal RNA", at positions 28 to 507 of the family's 1533-position model. The record is from RNAcentral.
GAUGAACGCUGGCGGCGUGCCUAAUACAUGCAAGUCGAGCGAACGGACGAGAAGCUUGCUUCUCUGAUGUUAGCGGCGGACGGGUGAGUAACACGUGGAUAACCUACCUAUAAGACUGGGAUAACUUCGGGAAACCGGAGCUAAUACCGGAUAAUAUUUUGAACCGCAUGGUUCAAAAGUGAAAGACGGUCUUGCUGUCACUUAUAGAUGGAUCCGCGCUGCAUUAGCUAGUUGGUAAGGUAGCGGCUUACCAAGGCAACGAUGCAUAGCCGACCUGAGAGGGUGAUCGGCCACACUGGAACUGAGACACGGUCCAGACUCCUACGGGAGGCAGCAGUAGGGAAUCUUCCGCAAUGGGCGAAAGCCUGACGGAGCAACGCCGCGUGAGUGAUGAAGGUCUUCGGAUCGUAAAACUCUGUUAUUAGGGAAGAACAUAUGUGUAAGUAACUGUGCACACCUUGACGGUACCUAAUCAGAAAGCCACGGCUAACUACGUG